Uranotaenia lowii is the source of this 469-nucleotide long non-coding RNA. RefSeq lists it as uncharacterized. The transcript has 2 exons. The record is from RefSeq and is a predicted model, not a curated record. Lineage: Eukaryota; Metazoa; Arthropoda; Insecta; Diptera; Culicidae.
GUGUAGAUGUUUGUUGAUAUUCAUUUUAAGAAAAAAAUUGUAUCAGAUUAAAAUUGUGGAUAGAUUUUUUUGGAAUAACCAGUUAAAUUCGCAAUUUCGUUACAUUUUUUCGGGUUUUUCCAAGAAUUGAACGAGAAAGUGUAAAUACUGGUUCUGAUGAUAAACAAACUUGAAGCAUCGUAAUUUGUGACCAAAAAUGGUCACUCGGAGUAAUAAUAAUCGAGACCAGUGCGCUGUGCAGGAUUUUUGUAUCCAACCGGCCAAUAUGGCUGGCAUUCCAGUACUGUCCCUACCGAUUCGGCUUUCGAAACGAGGUCUCUCAAUAAGUUUGCAACUAAUGGGACUCAGUUUUUCGGAGCAGCAACUAUUUCAAUCAGCACGUUGGAUAGAAAAAGAAGUUGAACAUUUUUUAGAAAAGUAUGAUUUUAAUAUAAAUAUAAUAAACAAAUAAAGUUUAAUUUUAGUUGAA